Long non-coding RNA from Nicotiana attenuata, 454 nucleotides. RefSeq lists it as uncharacterized. Lineage: Eukaryota; Viridiplantae; Streptophyta; Magnoliopsida; Solanales; Solanaceae. The record is from RefSeq and is a predicted model, not a curated record. The transcript is spliced from 2 exons.
AAGAGUGUUAUUUCUUUCGAAGUUGUAGUAGUCUCUUGACACUACUAAGUUGUAAUAUUAUAGUGGUAAUAUUGCUCCGCUGGGUAUUGUAUUUUAUCCCGUUAAAAUAUUGGGUGUCAUUGUUACUCUCUUGUGUUAUUAUUUUUUAUCGUGGAUAUUAUUUCUGGCGGGGAUAUUUAUUUUUUAUCCCAACAGAAACAUCUUGAAACAAUGGAGCUUGCCCAAUUGGUAGCUGAGCAUGAAAAGCUGUCAAAUUUGUUUAGUAUUGUGGAGAAAUUACUUGAUGAAAGUAGAGCUGGCUUUGGAAUCUUUCAGUAAGAUUGCUUCAGUAGCAAAGGGGGAAAGUUGGGUAUUCCUAAAAUGAAAUUGUGUUUUUUUAAUUCAAGAAUAAAAUAUUUGUAGCACUCUCUAGAGGAGCAACUUUUCUAUUAUAAGUUACUUAUUUAUCUUGAAA